GGAUUAGAAACCCUGGUAGUCCACGCCGUAAACGUUGGGCGCUAGGUGUGGGGAACCUUCCACGUUCUCCGUGCCGCAGCUAACGCAUUAAGCGCCCCGCCUGGGGAGUACGGCCGCAAGGCUAAAACUCAAAGGAAUUGACGGGGGCCCGCACAAGCGGCGGAGCAUGUGGCUUAAUUCGACGCAACGCGAAGAACCUUACCAAGGCUUGACAUAUACCGAAUACUCAUAGAGAUAUGGGGUCCGCAAGGGCGGUAUACAGGUGGUGCAUGGUUGUCGUCAGCUCGUGUCGUGAGAUGUUGGGUUAAGUCCCGCAACGAGCGCAACCCUCGUUCUAUGUUGCCAGCGCGUAAUGGCGGGGACUCAUAGGAGACUGCCGGGGUCAACUCGGAGG
RNAcentral lists this ribosomal RNA (394 nucleotides) under uncultured bacterium. RNAcentral describes it as "bacterial SSU rRNA". It matches the Rfam family "Bacterial small subunit ribosomal RNA", at positions 775 to 1169 of the family's 1533-position model. The record is from RNAcentral.